RNAcentral lists this non-coding RNA (23 nucleotides) under Arabidopsis thaliana (thale cress). Lineage: Eukaryota; Viridiplantae; Streptophyta; Magnoliopsida; Brassicales; Brassicaceae. The record is from RNAcentral.
GCAGAUCGUAUCGUCCUGGUUGC